Molecule: transfer RNA, 72 nt
Filed under: Symphurus plagiusa (blackcheek tonguefish)
Lineage: Eukaryota; Metazoa; Chordata; Actinopteri; Pleuronectiformes; Cynoglossidae
Also listed under: 1 other name
Description: tRNA-Leu
Rfam family: tRNA
About the family: Transfer RNA (tRNA) molecules are approximately 80 nucleotides in length.
Source: RNAcentral
GCUUCUGUAGGAUAUUAGUCUUCCGCCCGGCUUUAGGCGCCGUUAAUCUUGGUGCAAUUCCAAGCAGAAGUU